ACCCGAGCAGGAUGAAAGCGAACAGCUUAUCAGACAAACAGGGUGAGCUGUGAUUGAAUACCAAAGACAGACCGAAAAUUUGCGCUCCGAGGACACCACAAAAAUGCUGAAAUACACCGCGCUGUUUACUUCUCUUCCGAUCCUCUGGCUGAAUCUGAAUCAGUCUUCUGACUUAAUCUGGAGUUUCGAUCCUCUGCCUGAAUCUAUACUCAAUUUAGUCCUCUGGUUGGAUGU
RNAcentral lists this long non-coding RNA (234 nucleotides) under Lathyrus oleraceus (garden pea). RNAcentral's name for it is "Pisum sativum (pea) long non-coding RNA (PSAT_LNC010173)". The record is from RNAcentral. Lineage: Eukaryota; Viridiplantae; Streptophyta; Magnoliopsida; Fabales; Fabaceae.